GACGAACGCUGGCGGCGUGCUUAACACAUGCAAGUCGAACGGAAAGGCCUCUUUCGGGGGGUACUCGAGUGGCGAACGGGUGAGUAACACGUGAGUAACCUGCCCUUUACUUUGGGAUAACUUCAGGAAACUGGGGCUAAUACCGGAUAGGAGCUCCUGCUGCAUGGUGGGGGUUGGAAAGUUUCGGCGGUUGGGGAUGGACUCGCGGCUUAUCAGCUUGUUGGUGGGGUAGUGGCUUACCAAGGCUUUGACGGGUAGCCGGCCUGGGAGGGUGACCGGCCACAUUGGGACUGAGGUACGGCCCAGACUCCUACGGGAGGCAGCAGGGGGGAAGAUUGCACAAUGGGUGGAAGCCUGAUGCAGCAACGCCGUGGGCGGGAUGACGGGCUUCGGGUUGUAAACCGCUUUCGCUCAUGACGAAGCUUUGUGUGACGGUAGUGGGUAAAGAAGCACCGGCUAACUACGUG
This 467-nucleotide ribosomal RNA is filed under the name uncultured bacterium. RNAcentral describes it as "partial 16S ribosomal RNA". It matches the Rfam family "Bacterial small subunit ribosomal RNA", at positions 28 to 507 of the family's 1533-position model. The record is from RNAcentral.